UACCGCGGCAGACCUAGAGGGGAAGGAAGCCGUGGGUUUUACAGCUGGUGUUUUGGUUUAGAAAAAAAGACAGAGAGAAAAGAAUUUCUUAAAAAAUACCUCGCACAUGUAAAAUGCCACUAAAUCCAGGGUACAAGAGACUUGAGUGAAGUUUACGGGGCCUUAUGCAUCCAUGCAGCAACCAUCAGUGACCUGAUCACUGAGAGCAAGUGGAGGCCAGAGGCCCUUCCCCGCUCACGCACCUGUGAAUUACUGGAUUUCUACAGACCCAUGAAGGAAAGGGAAGACCUCUACCUCUUGAAAUGACUGAGAUGGACCUCCAUGCCACCACAGGAGCUUGAAACUUUUCAUUAGGGGAACGAAGUAACUGUGAUUUUUUUGUUGUUGUUGUAUCAAAAGUUGGGAACUAAAAGUCUUAUCAACUACAUGGGAAACCUGGCUGACUCCAUCGGUAGGGUAUGUGACUCUUGAUCUCUGGGUUGUAAGUUCAAGCCCUAUGUUGGGUAUGGAGAUUACUUGGAAGUAUUUUUAAAAAGUCUUAUGAACUACAUUUAUAUCCCUGGUACCUAGCACAGAACUUGGCACAAAGUAGGUGCUCUGUGAGUAUAUAAUGGACGCACGACCAAUUCAGGGGCCUUGUAAGAUCUUCCUUCAGUUGUCACAUAAAAAGCCAACUACUUCUCAUAAGUUCUAUUAUUUUCACAGGCAGGGAGUGGGCUCUUACCGUUUAGAAAAUUACUUGUGCCCAUUAGAAAGCAGAAAUUCUCCCUUCUGCUGCGUGUCACUCCCCUGCUCAAUUCUUCUAGUGGUUUCCUGUCUCACUGUGAACAAAAUCCAAAGUUCUUACGGGGACCCUCACAGAGUCCUACAGCCUCUGGCCCCACUAUCUCUGUG
Acinonyx jubatus (cheetah) is the source of this 894-nucleotide long non-coding RNA. RefSeq lists it as uncharacterized. The record is from RefSeq and is a predicted model, not a curated record. Lineage: Eukaryota; Metazoa; Chordata; Mammalia; Carnivora; Felidae. The transcript is spliced from 3 exons.